This 425-nucleotide ribosomal RNA is filed under the name uncultured bacterium. RNAcentral's name for it is "partial 16S ribosomal RNA". It matches the Rfam family "Bacterial small subunit ribosomal RNA", at positions 354 to 796 of the family's 1533-position model. The record is from RNAcentral.
GUUAGGAAUAUUGGACAAUGGGUGAAAGCCUGAUCCAGCCAUGCCGCGUGAACGAUGAAGGCCUUCGGGUUGUAAAGUUCUUUAGCCGAUGAUUAUAAUGACUGUAGUCGGAAAAUAAGCCCCGGCUAACUUCGUGCCAGCAGCCGCGGUAAUACGAAGGGGGCGAGCGUUAUUCGGAAUCACUGGGCGUAAAGCGUGCGUAGGCGGUUUUGUAAGUUAGGAGUGAAAGCCCAGGGCUCAACCUUGGAAUUGCUCUUAAAACUGCAAGGCUAGAAUCUCGGAGAGGAUAGCGGAAUUUCCAGUGUAGCAGUGAAAUGCGUAGAUAUUGGAAGGAACACCAGUGGCGUAAGCGGCUAUCUGGACGAGUAUUGACGCUGAGGCACGAAAGCGUGGGUAUCAAACAGGAUUAGAAACCCUGGUAGUCC